UCAGGAUCAGCGACGGCAGCAUCUCGAGUCUGGUGCCAACAUGGAGGAUGCAGUAAGGCAUUCAGAGAGGCUCUGUGAUAAAAAGGGUAAUCAGACCUCUUCUUUUUUUGGGAACACCUGUCGAGACUUUGCAGUACAGGGGGCGAGGCCCAAAAGUUUCAGGUCACGGAAUCCAUAGAGGGGCCAUUAUUGGAAUAAUUUUCGGAUAACCAUCAGUUGAGUGCAUAUGUGCCAUCUACUUGAGCCGCCUACCAUCAAAUCAUGCAGACAGAACCUCACUUUAACAUCUCAUCUAAAGGAAACACUGGCAGGAGUGCAGCUCCCCUAAUGCUGUUAAUAAUCCAAUGACCUGGAGGGGGAAUAGAACCCACAACCACCAGUACCAAUGUUUAUUUAUGUUGGAAGACCACCAAGGAGGUUUAUUGUUGAAUUUCCCAUAAUACUAUACUCUUCUUGAGACAGCCAGCUCUAUGCAUCUAUCUCAAUGGGCAUAGAACUCCUCUGUGAAGCUACCUGGUGUGUAACCAUUGGAGCUGAGACAGCCAUAAGUACCUUUUGAUAUCUUGCCAUAGAAUUUGAUGAGGUAUCAAAGAACCAUUUUUCUCAUACUGUCUAAGAUGCUAAAAGCAAUUCAGAUGCUCUCCAGCCACAGAAUUUCCCCAGGGUGUUUCUUUGUAAUUGAUAAACCGUCAAACAAUGAUAUAUAUAUUUUUUUACAAUUUAGAGUAUUCAUUUCAUACCAAAGAGUGUAUUAUUACAGUUGAAUGAAUUUUAAAGCUCAGAAAAUUUAUUGCUCUAUUUGGUUUGCUAAUAAGGGACGUAUAUCCAUUUCUAAAGGGCAAUGCGUUUCAGCAGAGUGAGAAGAAUUAUUUAAAGAGGUAACUGGCAAUAAAACAUUUUUAUGUUUC
This is a long non-coding RNA of Protopterus annectens (West African lungfish), 908 nucleotides long. RefSeq lists it as uncharacterized. Lineage: Eukaryota; Metazoa; Chordata; Ceratodontiformes; Protopteridae. The record is from RefSeq and is a predicted model, not a curated record. The transcript has 4 exons.